GAGCUUGCUCUUCUGGAUGAGUUGCGAACGGGUGAGUAACGCGUAGGUAACCUGCCUGGUAGCGGGGGAUAACUAUUGGAAACGAUAGCUAAUACCGCAUAACAGUAGAUAUUGCAUGAUAUCUGCUUGAAAGGUGCAAUUGCAUCACUACCAGAUGGACCUGCGUUGUAUUAGCUAGUUGGUGAGGUAACGGCUCACCAAGGCGACGAUACAUAGCCGACCUGAGAGGGUGAUCGGCCACACUGGGACUGAGACACGGCCCAGACUCCUACGGGAGGCAGCAGUAGGGAAUCUUCGGCAAUGGACGGAAGUCUGACCGAGCAACGCCGCGUGAGUGAAGAAGGUUUUCGGAUCGUAAAGCUCUGUUGUAAGAGAAGAACGAGUGUGAGAGUGGAAAGUUCACACUGUGACGGUAUCUUACCAGAAAGGGACGGCUAACUACGUGCCAGCAGCCGCGGUAAUACGUAGGUCCCGAGCGUUAUCCGGAUUUAUUGGGCGUAAAGCGAGCGCAGGCGGUUAGAUAAGUCUGAAGUUAAAGGCUGUGGCUUAACCAUAGUACGCUUUGGAAACUGUUUAACUUGAGUGCAAGAGGGGAGAGUGGAAUUCCAUGUGUAGCGGUGAAAUGCGUAGAUAUAUGGAGGAACACCGGUGGCGAAAGCGGCUCUCUGGCUUGUAACUGACGCUGAGGCUCGAAAGCGUGGGG
This 703-nucleotide ribosomal RNA is filed under the name uncultured Streptococcus sp. RNAcentral describes it as "bacterial SSU rRNA". It matches the Rfam family "Bacterial small subunit ribosomal RNA", at positions 76 to 766 of the family's 1533-position model. Lineage: Bacteria; Bacillati; Bacillota; Bacilli; Lactobacillales; Streptococcaceae. The record is from RNAcentral.